Molecule: unclassified non-coding RNA, 1722 nt
Filed under: Leishmania donovani
Lineage: Eukaryota; Euglenozoa; Kinetoplastea; Trypanosomatida; Trypanosomatidae
Description: gene:LdHU3.34.6240(CDS-product:hypothetical_prote in_conserved)
Source: RNAcentral
CGUAGCAACCCUGUCGACGAGAGGCAAGCCCCGCGGAUCGCGCCUCGCUACUGCCCUUGGUGAAGAACCGUCCACCCGGAGAGGCGGUGUCGCACGGCUUCCCUUGCACCCGUUCUUUAUCUUCUUUCUUUCUCGUCGCUUAGCUCUUGCUGCUCAUCUCGUCUCUAAGCACGCAUCAGCGAAUCCUCGUCGGCGGCCGACGUUGCACGUCGGGUAGCACAGUGUAGCGCUGCAGCGCUCACGCGUGGCACUUGGGCUCGUUGUUGCUCCAUCGCUGCUUACAAUGACGUCCUGGAAGGACCGGAUCGCCGCGAUGCUCUUCUUCCGUGACCCUGAGGAGGCGCUAACAGCGGAGAAGAUGCGCAACGCCGAGGCGAUGGCCAAGACAACGGAGGUGCGCCUGCAGCACAACCAAGAUGAGCGGGAGGUCAAGGAGAAGAUGCUGCAGCUGGAAAAUGGCAUCAAGGCGCAGCGGGAGCGCUACGCUCGACAGGCCGCCCCAAUGCUGAAGGAGUUCGACGACAUUGCCAUUUCGCAGCACUACUACCAGGAGGUGGGAAACAGCGUGGCCGCGCAGGAGACGUUUGUGGAUCAAAUGGCGCAGCGGGAGACGCACCAAUUCGGCUACAUAAGCAAGAAGCUCAUCUCCGUCAGCCUCAAUUUUGAGGCUUUACGCCAGCAGAUGCGGUCAGGGAAGCCGUUCGCACGAGAGCUGAAGGCCACGCUCGAUGAUGCGGAGAGUGAGGACCUGAAUGCCAUGUCGGAGCCACUCCGUGCAUUUGCCGACCGCGGCGUCCCGGAGUCGACGCUUGUGCGCGCUGCCGCCUUUGAUCUUGCCCGCUCCAUCGAGGAGACUGGCAAGGCACCGGUGCAGCAGCCGGUGCUGGGGUGGCUGGACCUGUUAAAGUUUCGUACCGCCUUUAGUCCCUCUACGGUAGACCAGAACGAAGUUCGCGCUCGCCGCACCGCUGCCCAGUUCACGCGCUACAUCGAGCAGAGACAGUACGCGAGGGCACUGGCUCUAGCGGAGGAGGUAGACACGUGGACGCGCAAUGAGCACGAUGCCGCCGUGGAAUACUUCAACAAUUCCUACAGGAGCUUCCGGCAAGCGACCCUGCCCGUCAUCACGGCUGAAAUCUUUCUCGCCUACGCCGCCGCCUCCCUCAACGCGUCACGGGUGGCGUGUGUGGAACAUAUGCUGAAGGAAUAAAGAAAACCAUGGCGUGAGGACCUUGAGAGAGCGAGCCGUAGCGAGGCGAGGCGUGUGCGUACUCCUGCACGGCGCUCCUUCACCAUCUCCUCUUCUCUCUUGUGAUGCCUCUGCUUCUCUUGAGCGCUUGCCUCGCGGCAUGGAAGAGCAUCAUGGCGUACGUGCAUGUGUCGUUGUGUGGAUAGGCGUGCAUGCGUCUGCCUUUGAAUGUGGACCGGCCGGUCGAAGAAUUGGCGGUCACCGUAGCGCACAAAGAAGAGCAGUAAUAGAGUAAACGACACGCACACGAACACACACACACACACACACACACACACACACACACACACACACACAUGCGCGCACAACACCCCUGGGCCUCCAACGGCUUCUCGGUGAGACCAAGACGUGCGCUGGCGGGGUUUUCUUCCCCGCAAAGGGGCCACCCACUGCUUCUUCCCUUUCCCCGUUCGCCAAAUCGGAUGCUGCCGCCAUCACCGCAUCUCUCCUUCCAUCCCUCCUUCAUCCCUCAG